This is a long non-coding RNA of Apus apus (common swift), 379 nucleotides long. RefSeq lists it as uncharacterized. The transcript has 4 exons. NCBI's taxonomy places the organism in Eukaryota, Metazoa, Chordata, Aves, Apodiformes, Apodidae. The record is from RefSeq and is a predicted model, not a curated record.
AGAAUCUAGUGAGAGGAAAGGCAAAAUAAGUGUGGGGCUGUAAGCAAUUGAGAUGAGAUUAUACCCUGUUCUGGGAGAACCCAUGCCCAAGUCCAUGGAAGCUCUGUGCCACAUGUCUGUAUUCUUGAUCAUGAAGAGACCAUCACAGGAAGAAGGUAGUCCUGCUGUUCCUCAUUGCCAUAAAUCCUCCUGCCUAGCCACUGGGUCUGAUACAAUGUUCAUGCAAUUGCUCAGGGAAUUGAUCCCGGUAGGAUGGGUGAAGAGGGUGCCACUGCUUUGAGGUUGAUCAGCCUGAAGAAGAGAAGACUCCAGGGAGACCUGCUAUCUGAAGGGGCUACAGGAGGGACAUUUUACAAGUGCAUGGAGUGACAGGACAAGG